RNAcentral lists this ribosomal RNA (253 nucleotides) under uncultured bacterium. RNAcentral describes it as "partial 16S ribosomal RNA". It matches the Rfam family "Bacterial small subunit ribosomal RNA", at positions 524 to 776 of the family's 1533-position model. The record is from RNAcentral.
UACGUAGGGACCGAGCGUUGUCCGGAAUCAUUGGGCGUAAAGAGCUCGUAGGCGGUUUGUCGCGUCUGCUGUGAAAACUCGGGGCUUAACCCCGGGCCUGCAGUGGGUACGGGCAGACUAGAGUGCGGUAGGGGAGACUGGAAUUCCUGGUGUAGCGGUGAAAUGCGCAGAUAUCAGGAGGAACACCGGUGGCGAAGGCGGGUCUCUGGGCCGUAACUGACGCUGAGGAGCGAAAGCGUGGGGAGCGAACAGG